CUGGUGAGGGGGAGGAGGAGGCCGGCUGGCUGGCAUAGCGCGGAAGAAGGCAGGAGGCUCCUCUUGCACUGGGAAGCCGAGGUUGCCACCGCAGACCUGGCAAGACUGGGGGCUGGACGCCCCUCCUGGCCAGCCCCCGCGCAGUACAGGUACCUGGAGACGAUUUCAACUGAAGUAAUGAAGGCAGUGUCGUGCUGUCGAGAGAAAGGUGGAUCCCAACAACAGGAAACUACCUAAAUCACCGACCAGUUCUCGUGUUGCCAGCUUGGGGCUGCCUCGCCCGCCGCCGCCGCCGCCGCCGCCGCCGCCGCCGCCGCCGCCUCUGCUGCCGCCACCGCUGCCGCCAAGGAGAAAACCCCGAGAUCGUGCCUGACCCAGCCCCUUGGCAACCUGCACCAGCCUCCGCCACUGACUGCCCCAAACCCAUGGUGGAGGAAGAAGCCACCGGUCCUCAGUAAGCUUAGCGGAGCAGCGCCGAGUGGCGGCAGCCUCGGGCGACUCGAAAGGCGCCGGGGACAGCUCACAGCCGGGUCCUGUGUCUGGCCGCGGCCUCUCCGGCUGGCUCACCGCAGCCUCUCCCUCUCCCCCUCUUCUCCCUCCUAGCCACCCUCCCGCGGAGGCGCGCGCUCCCGAGACCCUCCCCCGCUAGCGUCGCCCCCCCACCUCCGGCAAGCAGGAAACGCGUGGCCCUGCGGAGGGCCACCAGGUGGGGGAGGCCGAGCAGGGGGAGGGGGUGACCCUGGGCAGCCCGGAUCGGGUCCAUCUAACGGCGGCCGCAGACGCUAGUGCUGUUCAAUGCGUGGGCCCUGCUCCACGGAUUUAGGCUCGGGGUCACCCUGGGAUCCCCUGCACCCGCAAAAUAACUGGCAUCUGCGAGCCUCUCUGGGGCUCCCGAAAGAAAUCCUGUUUAGCCUCCUGGGUCUGUGGAGCUCGACUCUCAACUGAAACCACUGGUCCAAGACAGCCACAAUCCAGAUAUACUAGCAAGUCAUAAAACUGAACAAAAGCCGACAAACCUUAAGGCACCAGGGCUAUAGGGCCCAGACAAAUUACGACCGUCUAGGUAAUAUUUAAAUAGAUGCCUAAAGUAAUUGCAGGGGGCUCAGGCUGGUCCUCCUGUUGUAAAAAUGGUCGACGGGAUAAAGUGGAAGGUGAAGAUAAGAAGUCAAAAAAGAGUCAACCAGUCAAGCUCUUUUGCUAACCUGCAUGUCCAUGACUGGAUACUCUACUGUUGGCCAAGAAAGAAAAGAAGAAAGAAGAGAACUCAGGCCUGUUCUCCCUGAUUAAACACAGCCCAGCACUCUAGGC
Molecule: long non-coding RNA, 1308 nt
Organism: Nannospalax galili (Upper Galilee mountains blind mole rat)
Lineage: Eukaryota; Metazoa; Chordata; Mammalia; Rodentia; Spalacidae
Exons: 3
Source: RefSeq, a predicted model, not a curated record